AUGCUCAGGUGAAUAAUUCCAACGUGACCUUUACAAAGGGGUCAGCUGAAGAUAAUCCCAGUGGCUUAGGUUGGCAUCCUGGGGAGAGCCGGCUAAUGGCAACGCAGAGCGCAGCGGAGCAAGUGAACACCGAGCAGACGUCUACGGACGGCGCAUCCCCGCCUGAAGUCUCCAUUCUACCUGAAGAACAAGACCUGACAUCAAUGGAGGGAGCAUGUUGUGAUCCAACCCAAAGACGCCAUCAUGGCAGAACAGCGGGCGGCGAGCAAUCGGAGCCUGAGGAUAUUUUGAGUGAGGGGCAGAAACGGUGCAGAGAGGCUCAAAGCAACAAGAACCCAAAACAGGUACCUUCAAACAUUGGGGAGAACUCUGAAAACACACAGAAUUUUGACAAAGAGGGAGAAUCAAUGUGUGGCUUUGCUAAGACGUACUCAGCCGUGCAACAUGCUGACUUUGGUGAAGAUUUUGAGUCCAAUGAGCCUCCGGAGCCCUCCAAAAGACCCCAAAACCCGACGGACGCAGCGACCUGUCGGCCGUACGUACCAGAGGUCCCAGUGGAGGAGUCCAAUGGACACUCCAUCUCCGACGGCUCCGAAGAGACAGGGCAGGGAGAUGGGAGCAGGAGAAUAUCUAAUGGUAUCCAGCAAGGAGAGCAGCUGCUUCAACGUCUGCAGCUGGUCCAGCUGCGUCAGGACGUGUCUCUACCCGGGAGCCCUGACGCCUCCCAGCAGGCUGUCCGAGAGACACGAGGCGAGACAAGGAGCGCACCUGGGAGUGACGUAGGCGAUUCGAAAGCAAGGGGAGCCCACUUGACGGGUGAGAAUGAGGAAGAAGAGAGCGGGGGAGAGAGAUGGAAGCCGAUGGCGGUGGAAGGGAGUGGGAGGUAUGCCGUGGAACUGGAGGCUGGGAUGUCUUUGUUAAUGCCGACGGUGCAGUCAGGGCAGCACAACACCACCAUGGCAGAGGCAGGAGACUAUGAGGAAGAUCAAAGGGACCCCGGUGAAACCUCCUCCACCCAGAAUCCCUUUCUCUCCACCUGCCACCGACUCUCGGCCUCCGAGGCCUGGGUUGAGGGGCGGAGCCCCAGCGAGGCCCUGGGGAGCCUGCAGAGAGCAAGCGGCAUCUUCGACGUCGCCGAUGAUCCAGACGUGCUGGAGAUCCCCUUCAAGAACCAUAUUACGCUCGACCCCUUCCCCACCGAGGAUGGCGGCGACUGGCAGUUCUCCUCGCAGAAGAUGAAAAAGGAGAUAAGCCAGGAGACGCGGAGGGAGCUGGUGCUGGUCAACCAGGGCAAGAUCCCGGGGGGGUACAGCAAAGGAGAGGUCCGCCAGCGGAAGGAGACAAAGCUCCUGUUCGAGGCCUUCCAGCAGAUCAACACGGAUGGUCCGGCAAGGCCCCCAAGACCCAUCGUGAAAGGUCACGUUUACCCCUCUGUGCUGGAGCGCACCCGCAGCAUGGAGAUGCUGUCGCUCAAAAGUCGGCCCGUCUGCAGAACACAAUCCUUCCGGCUGAUUAAGGAGAGCGAGAAACACGCAGAAAUCCUCAGGCCAUCGAGCCUAAAGAGCGGUUCUCUGGACAAAGCGCGCCCCUCUCACUCCGCAAGACACAAGGAGCGCGCGCAGCCGAGCGGUAGCGCGGACUCCGGCGGGGAUGCCGGGAGCAGAGACACGGAGGCCAACGGCCCGAAAGAAUGUCCCGCCGUCAGGGGAAACCCCUUCUUCAAGCUGCGCCCGGCCCUUGCUCUGAAGCCAGAGGUAGAGAAGGACAUCCGGGAGGCCAAGGAGAGAGAGGAAGAGCUGCGCAGACAGAGAUGCACCCUGUACGGGGAGAACGGGCCGAGGGGUGAAGACGGAGAGGGGUCAAGGUUCAAACCGACGCUCGCCACAGCAGGAGGCAAAGGUUCACCGGGUGGGAGGUCAGAGGGCGUCUCUGUGGCAGCGCUGGGAGUCCGGCCUGAUCAACGGGAAGACGCCAAAGGAAAAAAAAUGAGGUCGGCCAUGUUGAAUAUAUCCACCAUCUGCAAUGCUAGAGCUGCUCCAGUCCAAGAUGGAUCAAUGGAACCGAGGUCCAGAAGUUAGUUCCGGCUUGUACGCUUUUUCUCUCUUCCACUGUGGCUCUGUCUCAGUGUCGACCAGCAGUUUUGAUAUUUUUAAAAGUCUAGGUGUAUUCAGCGGGUAAAUAAAGCAAAAGCGUAACACGUUAAGGGGAAGACGCCAGUCAGUUUACUGCUAUCUUACCGGUUAUGGAUUUUUCUAAUUUCUAUAAACUGUCAAGUUGGAAUGUAAUGUCGUAAUGAAGCUGUCAUUUUUCUCUUUUCAUAAGUUCCCGCAGCAAAUCUCCAUUAGAUCGUUUGCAUUGAGAUUUGAAUAAAUUAGAGAAAAAAAC
This is a long non-coding RNA of Gasterosteus aculeatus aculeatus (three-spined stickleback), 2385 nucleotides long. The record is from Ensembl. Lineage: Eukaryota; Metazoa; Chordata; Actinopteri; Perciformes; Gasterosteidae.